RNAcentral lists this ribosomal RNA (875 nucleotides) under Fomitiporella sp. Fv.Ch-7. Its description in RNAcentral is "eukaryotic LSU rRNA". It matches the Rfam family "Eukaryotic large subunit ribosomal RNA", at positions 66 to 916 of the family's 3401-position model. The record is from RNAcentral. Lineage: Eukaryota; Fungi; Basidiomycota; Agaricomycetes; Hymenochaetales; Hymenochaetaceae.
UAACAAGGAUUCCCCUAGUAACUGCGAGUGAAGCGGGAAAAGCUCAAAUUUGAAAUCUGGCGGUCCUUUUNCGUCCGAGUUGUAACCUGGAGGAGUGUUUUCCGCGUCGGACCGUGUACAAGUCUCCUGGAACGGAGCGUCGUAGAGGGUGAGAAUCCCGUCCAUGACACGGACAGCCGGUGCUUUGUGAUACACUCUCGAAGAGUCGCGUUGUUUGGGAAUGCAGCGCAAAAUGGGUGGUAAAUUCCAUCUAAAGCUAAAUAUGGGCGAGAGACCGAUAGCGAACAAGUACCGUGAGGGAAAGAUGAAAAGCACUUUGGAAAGAGAGUUAAACAGUACGUGAAAUUGUUGAAAGGGAAACGCUUGAAGUCAGUCGCGUCUUGUGGAACUCAGCCUUGCUUCGGCCUGGUGUACUUUCCACUGGACGGGUCAACAUCAAUUUUGGCCGGUGGACAAAGGCGGGGGGAAUGUAGCGUCGUUUCGGCGACGUGUUAUAGCCCCUGGUCAUAUGCAUCGGCCGGGAUUGAGGACCGCAGCGCGCCCUUUUUUGUGGCCGGGGGUUCGCCCCACUUCCGCGCUCAGGAUGUUGGCAUAAUGGCUUUAAGCGACCCGUCUUGAAACACGGACCAAGGAGUCUAACAUGUUUGCGAGUGUUCGGGUGGAAAACCCUUGCGCGCAAUAAAGUGAAAGUUGGGAGCCUCCGCAAGGGGGUGCACCGACGCCCGGCCCUGACGUUCUCUGACGGUGCUGCGGUAGAGCAAGUAUGUUGGGACCCGAAAGAUGGUGAACUAUGCCUGAAUAGGGCGAAGCCAGAGGAAACUCUNANGGAGGCUCGUAGCGAUUCUGACGUGCAAAUCGAUCGUCAAAUUUGGGGC